CGCGCCCCUGUCGCCUCCACCCCAUGUCCCCAUCCGCUAGCUUUGGCCAUUGCCCAUUGGGUUUCGAGGUUCAUCUAUCAAUCCCACUGACCUCCAGGAUUUCUGCAAUUUGUAGGUUUUGUGCGCAGAUCCCGAGUCGUUGCAUACAGAUCUGACCUGCAGCCCACGGUGGUGGUCACAUCUUCGGUUGUUGAAACCACGGUUAAACUUGUUUCAGCCAAACAAACAGUACUGGAACUGGAAUUCCAGGCAAGUUCGUCAGCAACGUAUAAAAUGCACAAAGAGGAGGCAAUGAAAACCACCUAUCAUGAAGAUACUACCAGUACUGAUGGAUCAAACAUGGAUAAAUACGAUCCAUGGAAUCCUCCGUAUCCUCCAUGCCCUCCUGCUGUUGGAAAUAGCUUAAGUGACUCUAUCCGUUUAGUAGCUAAGUGGUCACGUGAGAAAGAAGCUGCAAUUGGUGCCAUCAGAGCAUCCAGUAUAAUCUUCCCAGACCGCAUCCCUAAG
This is a long non-coding RNA of Triticum dicoccoides, 507 nucleotides long. RefSeq lists it as uncharacterized. The transcript has 3 exons. The record is from RefSeq and is a predicted model, not a curated record. NCBI's taxonomy places the organism in Eukaryota, Viridiplantae, Streptophyta, Magnoliopsida, Poales, Poaceae.